UAGGGAAUCUUCGGCAAUGGACGAAAGUCUGACCGAGCAACGCCGCGUGAGUGAAGAAGGUUUUCGGAUCGUAAAACUCUGUUGUUAGAGAAGAACAAGGACGUUAGUAACUGAACGUCCCCUGACGGUAUCUAACCAGAAAGCCACGGCUAACUACGUGCCAGCAGCCGCGGUAAUACGUAGGUGGCAAGCGUUGUCCGGAUUUAUUGGGCGUAAAGCGGGCGCAGGCGGUUUCUUAAGUCUGAUGUGAAAGCCCCCGGCUCAACCGGGGAGGGUCAUUGGAAACUGGGAGACUUGAGUGCAGAAGAGGAGAGUGGAAUUCCAUGUGUAGCGGUGAAAUGCGUAGAUAUAUGGAGGAACACCAGUGGCGAAGGCGGCUCUCUGGUCUGUAACUGACGCUGAGGCUCGAAAGCGUGGGGAGCAAACAGG
RNAcentral lists this ribosomal RNA (429 nucleotides) under Gemmatimonadota bacterium. Its description in RNAcentral is "Gemmatimonadetes bacterium partial 16S ribosomal RNA". It matches the Rfam family "Bacterial small subunit ribosomal RNA", at positions 355 to 776 of the family's 1533-position model. Lineage: Bacteria; Pseudomonadati; Gemmatimonadota. The record is from RNAcentral.